GCGUCCCCCGGCCCGGCGCGCGGCGAGCUGCAGCCGCGCCAGCAGGUCGACGACGCCCAGGCCCGGCGGUCCGACCCCGCCGACGUCGCA
RNAcentral lists this transfer RNA (90 nucleotides) under Streptomyces echinoruber. Its description in RNAcentral is "tRNA-Cys". The record is from RNAcentral. Lineage: Bacteria; Bacillati; Actinomycetota; Actinomycetes; Kitasatosporales; Streptomycetaceae.